Molecule: ribosomal RNA, 402 nt
Filed under: uncultured bacterium
Lineage: Bacteria
Description: bacterial SSU rRNA
Rfam family: Bacterial small subunit ribosomal RNA
Source: RNAcentral
AGGACUUGACAUCUGAUGCAUAACCUAGAGAUAGGUGAAAUUCUUCGGAACAUCAAGACAGGUGGUGCAUGGUUGUCGUCAGCUCGUGUCGUGAGAUGUUGGGUUAAGUCCCGUAACGAGCGCAACCCUUAUCACUAGUUGCCAGCAUUCAGUUGGGGACUCUAGUGAGACUGCCGGUGACAAACCGGAGGAAGGUGGGGAUGACGUCAAAUCAUCAUGCCCCUUAUGUCCUGGGCUACACACGUGCUACAAUGGAUGAUACAGCGAGAAGCGAAGUCGCGAGGCCAAGCGGAUCUCUUAAAGUCAUUCUCAGUUCGGAUUGUUCUCUGCAACUCGAGAGCAUGAAGCCGGAAUCGCUAGUAAUCGUGGAUCAGCACGCCACGGUGAAUACGUUCCCGGGUC